RNAcentral lists this long non-coding RNA (216 nucleotides) under Salmo trutta (river trout). RNAcentral describes it as "lncRNA (ENSSTUG00000046763.1)". Lineage: Eukaryota; Metazoa; Chordata; Actinopteri; Salmoniformes; Salmonidae. The record is from RNAcentral.
CAGAACUCAGGCAUCAAACGCAACAUCACUAUACAGGAUGAGUCCACAACAUUAUUUGGCUUGCAGUCAGGGGUUGGAUGAAGGAGCCCAAGCCAAAGGUCACUGAGAACACUGAUCCCAAUGUGGAGAAGGCUGCCAAGGUUGGAGCCAAGAAGACUAAGGACAAGGAAGCCGAAGCUGAGAAGAAAAUGUCUACAGCCAAAAAGCAGAAGGAGA